ACAACGAAGAGUUUGAUCCUGGCUCAGGACGAACGCUGGCGGCGUGCUUAACACAUGCAAGUCUAACUAGAAAUCAUCCUUCGGGAUGUGAGUAAAGUGGCGAACGGGUGAGUAACGCGUAGGUAACCUGCCUUCAGGUUAGGGAUAACCCUGCUAAAGCGGGGCUAAUACCGAAUGAUGUCUUUCAAUGCAUGUUGAUAGAUUAAAGAUGGCCUCUACUUGUAAGCUAUCGCCUGUAGAUGGACCUGCGUCUCAUUAGCUUGUUGGUAGGGUAAAAGCCUACCAAGGCGACGAUGAGUAGCCGGCCUGAGAGGGUGUCCGGCCACACUGGGACUGAGAUACGGCCCAGACUCCUACGGGAGGCAGCAGUGAGGAAUAUUGCGCAAUGGUCGAAAGACUGACGCAG
Molecule: ribosomal RNA, 406 nt
Filed under: Candidatus Zhuqueibacterota bacterium
Lineage: Bacteria; Pseudomonadati
Description: bacterial SSU rRNA
Rfam family: Bacterial small subunit ribosomal RNA
Source: RNAcentral